This 278-nucleotide ribosomal RNA is filed under the name uncultured bacterium. RNAcentral describes it as "partial 16S ribosomal RNA". It matches the Rfam family "Bacterial small subunit ribosomal RNA", at positions 29 to 334 of the family's 1533-position model. The record is from RNAcentral.
AACGAACGCUGGCGGCAGGCUUAACACAUGCAAGUCGAACGCCCUCUUCGGAGGGAGUGGCAGACGGGUGAGUAACACGUGGGAAUCUACCUAUCAGUAGGGAACAACACAUAGAAAUGUGUGCUAAUACCUUAUACGUCCUUCGGGAGAAAGAUUUAUCGCUGAUAGAUGAGCCCGCGCUUGAUUAGCUAGUUGGUGAGGUAAUGGCUCACCAAGGCGACGAUCAAUAGCUGGUCUGAGAGGAUGAUCAGCCACACUGGGACUGAGACACGGCCCAG